This 492-nucleotide ribosomal RNA is filed under the name uncultured bacterium. Its description in RNAcentral is "partial 16S ribosomal RNA". It matches the Rfam family "Bacterial small subunit ribosomal RNA", at positions 29 to 507 of the family's 1533-position model. The record is from RNAcentral.
AGUGAACGCUGGCGGUAGGCCCAACACAUGCAAGUCGAACGGCAGCACAGUAAGAGCUUGCUCUUACGGGUGGCGAGUGGCGGACGGGUGAGGAAUACAUCGGAAUCUACUUUUUCGUGGGGGAUAACGUAGGGAAACUUACGCUAAUACCGCAUACGACCUACGGGUGAAAGCAGGGGAUCUUCGGACCUUGCGCGAUUGAAUGAGCCGAUGUCGGAUUAGCUAGUUGGCGGGGCAAAGGCCCACCAAGGCGACGAUCCGUAGCUGGUCUGAGAGGAUGAUCAGCCACACUGGAACUGAGACACGGUCCAGACUCCUACGGGAGGCAGCAGUGGGGAAUAUUGGACAAUGGGCGCAAGCCUGAUCCAGCCAUACCGCGUGGGUGAAGAAGGCCUUCGGGUUGUAAAGCCCUUUUGUUGGGAAAGAAAAGCAGCAGGUUAAUACCCCGCUGUUCUGACGGUACCCAAAGAAUAAGCACCGGCUAACUUCGUG